This 817-nucleotide ribosomal RNA is filed under the name uncultured bacterium. Its description in RNAcentral is "bacterial SSU rRNA". It matches the Rfam family "Bacterial small subunit ribosomal RNA", at positions 60 to 869 of the family's 1533-position model. The record is from RNAcentral.
AGUCGAGGGGCAGCAUGAUUGAAGCUUGCUUCAAUUGAUGGCGACCGGCGCACGGGUGAGUAACGCGUAUCCAACCUUCCGUACACUCAGGGAUAGCCUUUCGAAAGAAAGAUUAAUACCUGAUGGUAUGAUGAGAUUGCAUGGUAGCAUCAUUAAAGAUUUAUCGGUGUACGAUGGGGAUGCGUUCCAUUAGGUAGUAGGCGGGGUAACGGCCCACCUAGCCUACGAUGGAUAGGGGUUCUGAGAGGAAGGUCCCCCACAUUGGAACUGAGACACGGUCCAAACUCCUACGGGAGGCAGCAGUGAGGAAUAUUGGUCAAUGGACGAGAGUCUGAACCAGCCAAGUAGCGUGAAGGAUGAAGGUCUUACGGAUUGUAAACUUCUUUUAUAAGGGAAUAAAACCUCCCACGUGUGGGAGCUUGUAUGUACCUUAUGAAUAAGCAUCGGCUAACUCCGUGCCAGCAGCCGCGGUAAUACGGAGGAUGCGAGCGUUAUCCGGAUUUAUUGGGUUUAAAGGGAGCGCAGACGGGUCGUUAAGUCAGCUGUGAAAGUUUGGGGCUCAACCUUAAAAUUGCAGUUGAUACUGGCGUCCUUGAGUGCGGUUGAGGUGUGCGGAAUUCGUGGUGUAGCGGUGAAAUGCUUAGAUAUCACGAAGAACUCCGAUUGCGAAGGCAGCACACUAAGCCGUAACUGACGUUCAUGCUCGAAAGUGUGGGUAUCAAACAGGAUUAGAUACCCUGGUAGUCCACACGGUAAACGAUGGAUACUCGCUGUUGGCGAUAUACGGUCAGCGGCUUAGCGAAAGCGUUAAGUAUCC